UACGUAGGGUCCGAGCGUUGUCCGGAAUUACUGGGCGUAAAGAGCUCGUAGGUGGUUUGUCGCGUUGUUCGUGAAAACUCACAGCUUAACUGUGGGCGUGCGGGCGAUACGGGCAGACUUGAGUACUGCAGGGGGAGACUGGAAUUCCUGGUGUAGCGGUGGAAUGCGUAGAUAUCUGGAGGAACACCGGUGGCGAAGGCGGCGUUCUGGACUGUAACUGACACUGAGUGAACGAAAGCCAGGGGAGCAAACGGG
This 255-nucleotide ribosomal RNA is filed under the name uncultured bacterium. RNAcentral's name for it is "partial 16S ribosomal RNA". It matches the Rfam family "Bacterial small subunit ribosomal RNA", at positions 524 to 776 of the family's 1533-position model. The record is from RNAcentral.